GUUGAGGCGAAUACAAAUUAGCGAAGAUAAGAGGGGGGCGCUUUAAAAGCAGAUGAGGAGCAUGCUGGCUUCUAAGAAAAACUCUUCAGCGAAUACGUCGUGGUGAAAUGGUGGUUUCAGGUGAUAAAAGUGAAAGAAGCUGUAUUGCCCUUGGAAGUUUGAAUCCCAGAAGUAUGAAGAAGGCACAGUAUGUCAUUCGUAAUAUUGAAAUAUUUGGCCUGCCCUACUCAAAGGCAUAAACAAGCUUCAGCCUAUCAACACAGAAAUGGGAUGCUAACCUGCCAAAUAAAAGGAAAUGAAUAAAUGGAAGAACAAUAAAAGUCAGUAAAG
Long non-coding RNA from Chroicocephalus ridibundus (black-headed gull), 330 nucleotides. RefSeq lists it as uncharacterized. NCBI's taxonomy places the organism in Eukaryota, Metazoa, Chordata, Aves, Charadriiformes, Laridae. The transcript is spliced from 3 exons. The record is from RefSeq and is a predicted model, not a curated record.